AGAAAGUUAGUCUAACUAAGACAGUUGAUUUCGACUCAACAAACCAUAGCCUUACCCUAUGACUUUCUUC
RNAcentral lists this transfer RNA (70 nucleotides) under Otus lettia (collared scops owl). Its description in RNAcentral is "tRNA-Arg". Lineage: Eukaryota; Metazoa; Chordata; Aves; Strigiformes; Strigidae. The record is from RNAcentral.